UCUCCGUUGGUGAACCAGCGGAGGGAUCAUUACCGAGUUUACAACUCCCAAACCCAAUGUGAACCAUACCAAACUGUUGCCUCGGCGGGGUCACGCCCCGGGUGCGUCGCAGCCCCGGAACCAGGCGCCCGCCGGAGGGACCAACCAAACUCUUUUCUGUAGUCCCCUCGCGGACGUUAUUUCUUACAGCUCUGAGCAAAAAUUCAAAAUGAAUCAAAACUUUCAACAACGGAUCUCUUGGUUCUGGCAUCGAUGAAGAACGCAGCGAAAUGCGAUAAGUAAUGUGAAUUGCAGAAUUCAGUGAAUCAUCGAAUCUUUGAACGCACAUUGCGCCCGCCAGUAUUCUGGCGGGCAUGCCUGUCCGAGCGUCAUUUCAACCCUCGAACCCCUCCGGGGGGUCGGCGUUGGGGAUCGGGAACCCCUCAGACGGGAUCCCGGCCCCGAAAUACAGUGGCGGUCUCGCCGCAGCCUCUCCUGCGCAGUAGUUUGCACAACUCGCACCGGGAGCGCGGCGCGUCCACGUCCGUAAAACACCCAACUUCUGAAAUGUUGACCUCGGAUCAGGUAGGAAUACCCGCUGAACUUAA
This 587-nucleotide unclassified non-coding RNA is filed under the name Trichoderma sp. TAMA 468. Its description in RNAcentral is "partial contains 18S rRNA, ITS1, 5.8S rRNA, ITS2 and 28S RNA". The stretch from base 218 to 371 matches the Rfam family "5.8S ribosomal RNA". Lineage: Eukaryota; Fungi; Ascomycota; Sordariomycetes; Hypocreales; Hypocreaceae. The record is from RNAcentral.